Molecule: ribosomal RNA, 345 nt
Filed under: Escherichia coli
Lineage: Bacteria; Pseudomonadati; Pseudomonadota; Gammaproteobacteria; Enterobacterales; Enterobacteriaceae
Description: bacterial SSU rRNA
Rfam family: Bacterial small subunit ribosomal RNA
Source: RNAcentral
CUGCCAGUGAUAAACUGGAGGAAGGUGGGGAUGACGUCAAGUCAUCAUGGCCCUUACGACCAGGGCUACACACGUGCUACAAUGGCGCAUACAAAGAGAAGCGACCUCGCGAGAGCAAGCGGACCUCAUAAAGUGCGUCGUAGUCCGGAUUGGAGUCUGCAACUCGACUCCAUGAAGUCGGAAUCGCUAGUAAUCGUGGAUCAGAAUGCCACGGUGAAUACGUUCCCGGGCCUUGUACACACCGCCCGUCACACCAUGGGAGUGGGUUGCAAAAGAAGUAGGUAGCUUAACCUUCGGGAGGGCGCUUACCACUUUGUGAUUCAUGACUGGGGUGAAGUCGUAACA